AAAGAUCAGAUGCAGCCUCCCAACUGCAAAAGGGCAAACAAAGAAACAAAUUAGCAAGCAGCAUAUCUAAACAGACUACCAGAAAUAAAGAGUUAAGAAUAGCGAUGGAGCCAUUACAAGGCGAGUUCUAUCUGCAGAAAGCAGAAUACUCUCCAAAUAGAAAACAACUGGAGUUUAUGUAGGGUGCUAAUAAGAGGCAUAAAAGGCCACAUACUGCAAAAUAUAACUUCUAAAAACCUCAACAAACAAUCUUAUAAAACAAAUCGGUCCUCUACCUUAAUGACCAAAGAGACAGAAAAUAAUCUUGAAUCAGUACAUUUACUUUAACACCAUUUCUCAUUCUCUGCCAUAACCCAUCACCAAUGAAAUUCUAAUUACUACAAAGGUAGAAAUGGAAAUAAAACACUUCUUUUGGCUGUAACAAUGAACACCAACUGCUCUAAACAAUUUUUUUACUAUCUCAGAACUUGCUCAAUGAUUAACAGUCAGCAUUCUAUUUUUAGUGCUCAGAAAAAAUAGAAUUUACAUCCACCAUACAGCUUGGUCAUGCUUCAUUAGAGAAUUGAUAUAAAAGGCUAAUAAAUCGACCCAGCUAGAGCUCAUCCAUCUGAACUUUGAACAGCACAACCAGCCCAUCCAAACUCGGAGACAAUCGAGUUCUCCCAUCCAAUCUCAAAAACUAAUACCGAGCUCUAAGGAAAGCCCAAAGGGUGUUCCAACCCAUUUCAAAGAGAUCAGACAAGAUCGGAGAGAUCGGAUAAGAUCGGACAGAUCAGUACUUUCUUCAAGCUCGGACCAAACGAAGACCGUGCCACCAACUACGCCACUAAUCACGUCUAAUUCCCAGUAUAAUCUAAGAAUAAUUACCGUUAUAACUUAAAUAGGGAAUCAAUGAGGAUCUGGCCAAGAUUUCAUCAUAAUUACUAUAAAAAAAAUAAAGCUUCAGAAACAGUUAUACAAAUAAUAAUCUCACUUUUAUUAUACUAAAUACUCAAUUUAUAAUCUGAUUACUGACUUGAGUGUCGGAGUGGUUGUCAACCACCAUGGCCCCUCAUCUGUUCUUUGAUUUUCAGGAGACCCUCAAUCCGACCAAAUUCGGUAUACAAGAAAUCCACGACAACAUCAGGAAUAAACUAACAUAUCCUCAUGAUUCAUUUAGUAAUCAAAUGACAACACUAAAAGUGCACAUCAAACACAUUUGCUUAAAAACAAUGUCAGCACAGCUAGAGAAUUUAAUUCCAGCAGUAAUCAAGGAAGAAAGUUAUCAACAUACCAAGAUUGCCUCA
Molecule: unclassified non-coding RNA, 1286 nt
Filed under: Hevea brasiliensis (rubber tree)
Lineage: Eukaryota; Viridiplantae; Streptophyta; Magnoliopsida; Malpighiales; Euphorbiaceae
Source: RNAcentral